RNAcentral lists this long non-coding RNA (260 nucleotides) under Elaeis guineensis (African oil palm). RNAcentral's name for it is "long non-coding RNA (EGUI_LNC049532)". The record is from RNAcentral. Lineage: Eukaryota; Viridiplantae; Streptophyta; Magnoliopsida; Arecales; Arecaceae.
CUUCUCCGACGCAGGCGGAUUUUUGAACCAACAAUAUUUAAUCCAAACUUUAAUGCUCAAUCAAAUUGAGUUAAUUAACAAUCUACUCACUAAUUAAUUUUUUUAAUUUAUCAAUAAUUAAUGAAUUAAUUUAUUGUAACUUUUGGAUAAAGUAAUCAUCAAUCAAAUUAACGAUUAGACACUAGAAUGAUUCUCAAUUAUUGAUUAGCCACAUGAUCAGUCGAAAAUUUUUUUUGAGUGUAACUCUAUAAGUUCGAACC